This 253-nucleotide ribosomal RNA is filed under the name uncultured bacterium. RNAcentral describes it as "partial 16S ribosomal RNA". It matches the Rfam family "Bacterial small subunit ribosomal RNA", at positions 524 to 776 of the family's 1533-position model. The record is from RNAcentral.
GACGAGGGAUCCUAGCGUUGUUCGGAAUUAUUGGGCGUAAAGCGGGUGUAGGUGGCUAUGUAAGUCAGGUGUGAAAGCCUGGGGCUCAACCCCAGAAGUGCAUCUGAUACUGCGUAGCUUGAGUGCUAGAGAGGAUAGUAGAAUUCUUGGUGUAGUGGUGAAAUACGUAGAUAUCAAGAGGAAUACCGGUGGCGAAGGCGGCUAUCUGGCUAGACACUGACACUCAGACCCGAAAGUGCGGGGAUCAAACAGG